GUCUGCUCGGCCAACGCCGGCUCGCAAAACACGCUGCCCCCGCUGCGGCGCUUCCAUGGUGACGGGCCGCGGGCCGUCGGCGCUCUUUUCAAACCCCGGUACCGCGAAAGAAAACAUGUCAACCCAAACUAGUUGUUGACUAUCGAACAUUAACGGAGGGCAACAUGUUACGCUCCACGCAGUCCAGCGCGAGUUAUUGACCCGAAGAGAGACGUUUACGUCGGUUAUGUAGAGCCGUUAGUCCCGCAAACUGUCCCCGCGAUCACGUGGUUGAGCGCCGCCAACAUGAACAACAACGCGGAGAGGAAGUUCGUGAAUCUGCGGAAGCGUCUGGACCAGCUGGGCUACCGGCACCCGCUGGGCAUCGAGUCACUGCCGCUGGUGGAGAAGCUGUUCGGUGACCUGAUCCAUACAACGGAAAGCCUGCGCAACCUCAAGCUGUCAGCGGGGAAAACCGAGGAAGAAACGCAAACCUUCGACGCCCUUCUGGAGCCGUACAGGGCGGAGAACGCCCGAGUGGUCCGGGAGAACAACGAGCUGCACCUGGAACUUCUCAAGCUGAAGGAGGAGAAGGAUCGAGUCGGCAGAGAGCUGAAGACCCACAUCAGGAAACUGGGCCACGAGACCUCUGACCUGAAGUUCUUAAAUAACCAGUAUGCGCACAAAGUCCGCUGCUUGGAAAAGGACAGCAAGGCGAAAGCUGAGCGCAUCCAACAGCUGCAGGAGAAGAACAUGCAAGCCGUGGUGCAGACGCCGGGUGGGAAGAAGCGCAGCAUCCCGUUCAGACGGCAAAGGAUGCAGAUCGAUGAGCUCACACCUCGCUCCUCCACAUCGGCCUAUCCCGCCCCGCAGCCCGAUGACCCGUACAUAGCCGACCUGCUGCACAUGGCCGAUGGAAGGAUCCAGGAGCUGCAGGAUGACAUCAGAGAGGUCAAACUAGACCUGGAAAACGCUCAAGAGUUUAUAAAACACUUAAAAACGCAGGUGGAGGAGCGGGACAAAGAGAUCGAACGCAUGAACCGCGCUCUUCGUGGAGGACGGCCUCAUGAUGUCAUUUCCAUCGAGGCCCAGAACAUCAGCAACGAGAAGUUGAUUGCGCAUCUCAACCUUCAGAUCGAGUACCUGCAGGAGACCAACAGGACUCUGGAUCAGAAGGUCGACGCGCUGCAGCAGAAGAAGGAUGACGCCUCCAACAAAGUGGCCAACCUGUCCUUGAAGAACCUGGAGCUGUGCGAGGAGCUAACGCACGUGGACGACCUGGCCCAGCGGCUGGAGAUGGACAAGGAGCACGUGCUGGAGACCGCCGACAUGGAGCUGCAAGAAAGCAAAAGAGAGAUUCAAAGGCAACAGAGAACCAUUGAAGACCUGGAGGAUAUCAUCACAACAUUAAGACGGGAGCAGUCGGAAGGAAACUUUGAAAAAGGCCGUCUGUGCGAUGAGCUGCUGGUCCUCAGAGAGCAGAAGGAGAAGAUGGAGGGACUGGUGAACUUCCUUGAGGAGGAGAAGCUCCGGCUGAAGGACAAAAUGGAGAACAUGAUGUCUGCUGACAAAGACCUGGUCCUGGAGCUGGAGACCAUGCGGGCCAAGCACGGCGUUUGUGGACGGGAGCGCUCCCCGUCGCGCCUCGAUGCCUUCGUCAAGAGUCUGGAGGAGGAGCGGGAUCGCUACCGGCAGGAGGCCGACCGCUACAGGAGAGCCGGGGGGGGCGGGGGGCCGGACUCGAGCCCCAGUCGGAGUCCUCGGUCGAAAGUGGGGGGCGUCGCAGAGGCGGAGCUGCUCCGCUUGGUGAAGGAACGCAACGAGCUGAAGGCGUCUCUGCUGGACUUUGAGGAGCACUUGGAGGACAUCCAGAACAAGGUGAAGGACCUCAGCUCGGAGAGAGACCGCUUCAAGGCCCUCUGGAGACGGGCUCAAGAGGACCUGCAGCUGGCCGGUGGAGCAGACGGGUCAGCUGACCUGCUGACGCUGCAGCAGGAGGUGAAACGAGCCGAGACCAGAAUCCAGCAGAUCACCACAGAAAGAGACGCUCUGCUGGAGAGAGGGAGGGAGGAGAGGAGGGACCUGGAGGACGCCGUGAAGACCUUGGAGCGGGAGAGACUGGAGCUGAGGUCCCAGGUGGGUCUGCUGCAGGAGAACAGGGAGGCUGCCGAGGAGGAGCUGAGGCUUCGCUCUGCCGCUGUGGUCCAGAAUGCUGAGGAGGUUUCUCAUCAGAGGGCCCAGACCAGCGCGCUGAGGCUGCUGCAGGAGCAGACGGAGCAGUCGCUGUCUGACACCCAGCGCCGACUGUCUGUGAAGACCAGCGAGCUGCAAGCUGCACGUCAGCACAUCCGGGAGCUGGAGGAGACGAUGGGAGAGCUGAGUCAGCGGGGCUCCAAGCACAAAGAGGACGUGGCUGGUCUUCAGAAGUCCGUGUCGGCUCUGGACAGAGAGAAGGACGCUCUGCAGGACGAGGUGGACGAGAAGACCGAGAAACUGGUGGCUCUCCAGGAGGAGCUUUGUGAAAAGGAGCAGGCCCUCAAAGACAUGAGGCUCACAGUCACAAACAUGGACGCCUCUUUAGCCCAGCUGCAGGGGGCGCUGCUCAGCCGCGAGAGGGAGAUCGCCAGCAUGAGGAGGCAGCUGGACGCAGGUCACGAGGAGCUGGCCGGACUCCGGAGGGACAAAGACGUCACCGUGAGAGAGAACCGGAGGCUGCAAGACGACCUGGCCACCAUGACCCGAGAGAACCAGGCUGUGCACGUGGAGAUGGAGGAGGUGUUGCACGAGAAGGAUGAGCUGAAGAUGAGGGUCCACUCGUACAUUUCUGAAGUGUCCCGAAUAGAGAAGCUGAUCAACACAAAGGAGCAGGAGAACAGGGACCUGCUGGAGCGAUUCAGGAUGGCCCACUCGGAGGUGGAGCAGCAGGAGCAGAAGCUGCAGCAGGCCGAAGGCCUCAACAGCUCCAUCCGCCUGGAGCUGCUGUCCUCGGACGCCGAGCGCCGACACCUGCGCGACACCGUCGGCUCCCAGGGGAGGGAAAUCCAACAGCACACGCAGGCCCUGCAGGCCUACGAGGCCCAGGUGUCGUCUCUGGUGCGCGGGAUGUCCCGCCUGGAGGAGGAGCUGCAAGGAGCCCGGGAGGAGAAGGCGGAGCUCCUCUCCGACCUGGCGUCCGUCAGGGAGCUGUGCGUCAAGCUGGACUCCGACAAGGAGCUCGCUGUACGUCAGCUCACCUCCAGGAGCAUGGACCUGGAGAGGGUCACAGGAGAACUGGAGGACCUUCGGUCGGAGGCGGAGCUUCUUAAAAAGCAAAUGACCAGUGAGAGGCUGACCGUCCGCAACCUGGAGACCCUCCUCUCGUCCAAUCGGCACAAGGAGUUCCAAACCCACCUGACGGCCAGCGAGAAGGAGUCCGAGCUCAAGGUCCUCCGGGACAGACUGACUCUCGCCGACAGCAAAACGGCGGAGCAUUCCAGGGAGGUGUCCCAGCUCCGCGCCAGAGUGUCCGAGCUGCAGAUGGAGAUGGACGUCCUGAAGAGACAGCUGACCAGCGAGCGCUUUGAGCGAGAGCGCGCCGUGCAGGAGAUGCGUCGACAGGGAGUUUCCUUCUCGUCGUCCCUCGACGCCUCGGCCGCUUCUCACGCCUCCCCCGAGCGCUCCAUCCUCCGGACCCCGAGCCGCUCCGCCCCGCGGCCCGCAGACAGGUGAGGCUUCGGGCUCGAGGUUUGAGCCUGGGCCGGGACAUUUUAAAGCAAACCAAGGAGCGUGAGCUUCAAGGAUUAACAGCCAGAGAAGGAUCUGAUCAUGCAGGUCUUUAAUGUGAACGUUCCAAACACGUCUGUGUUGUUUCUAUCUGACUCCACUGUCUGAAGGUUAGUUCUUCUGACAAAUACGACCCGUGUGCGUUUG
Molecule: RNA transcript, 3888 nt
Organism: Pungitius pungitius (ninespine stickleback)
Lineage: Eukaryota; Metazoa; Chordata; Actinopteri; Perciformes; Gasterosteidae
Gene: cep135
Gene name: centrosomal protein 135
Exons: 26
Source: RefSeq, a predicted model, not a curated record